CCCUUAGAUGUUCUGGGCCGCACGCGCGCUACACUGACUACUUCAACGAGUUGUUUCCUUGAUCGAAAGGUCUGGGUAAUCUUUGAAAGGUAGUCGUGAUGGGGAUAGAUCCUUGCAAUUUUUUAUCUUCAACGAGGAAUUCCUAGUAAACGCAAGUCAUCAGCUUGCAUUGAUUACGUCCCUGCCCUUUGUACACACCGCCCGUCGCACCUACCGAUUGAAUGGUCCGGUGAAUCUUUAGGACUGUGGCUGAGGCCUUGCCUUGUGCGGGUCUGGCCGUGGGAAUUUAGUUAAACCUUACCAUUUAGAGGAAGGUGAAGUCGUAACA
This 328-nucleotide ribosomal RNA is filed under the name uncultured eukaryote. RNAcentral describes it as "partial 18S ribosomal RNA". It matches the Rfam family "Eukaryotic small subunit ribosomal RNA", at positions 1470 to 1796 of the family's 1831-position model. The record is from RNAcentral.